This 301-nucleotide ribosomal RNA is filed under the name uncultured bacterium. RNAcentral's name for it is "partial 16S ribosomal RNA". It matches the Rfam family "Bacterial small subunit ribosomal RNA", at positions 509 to 807 of the family's 1533-position model. The record is from RNAcentral.
CAGUAGCCGCGGUAACACGUAGGGUGCGAGCGUUAAUCGGAAUUACUGGGCGUAAAGCGUGCGCAGGCGGUUUGUUAAGACAGAUGUGAAAUCCCCGGGCUUAACCUGGGAACUGCAUUUGUGACUGGCCGGCUAGAGUAUGGCAGAGGGAGGUGGAAUUCCACGUGUAGCAGUGAAAUGCGUAGAUAUGUGGAGGAACACCGAUGGCGAAGGCAGCCUCCUGGGCCAAUACUGACGCUCAUGCACGAAAGCGUGGGGAGCAAACAGGAUUAGAUACCCCUGUAGUCCCUGUCUCUUAUAC